AAGUUGCAGGGUAUAGACCCGAAACCCGGUGAUCUAGCCAUGGGCAGGUUGAAGGUUGGGUAACACUAACUGGAGGACCGAACCGACUAAUGUUGAAAAAUUAGCGGAUGACCUGUGGCUGGGGGUGAAAGGCCAAUCAAACCGGGAGAUAGCUGGUUCUCCCCGAAAGCUAUUUAGGUAGCGCCUCGUGAAUUCAUCUCCGGGGGUAGAGCACUGUUUCGGCUAGGGGGCCAUCCCGGCUUACCAACCCGAUGCAAACUGCGAAUACCGGAGAAUGUUAUCACGGGAGACACACGGCGGGUGCUAACGUCCGUCGUGAAGAGGGAAACAACCCAGACCGCCAGCUAAGGUCCCAAAGUCAUGGUUAAGUGGGAAACGAUGUGGGAAGGCCCAGACAGCCAGGAUGUUGGCUUAGAAGCAGCCAUCAUUUAAAGAAAGCGUAAUAGCUCACUGGUCGAGUCGGCCUGCGCGGAAGAUGUAACGGGGCUAAACCAUGCACCGAAGCUGCGGCAGCGACACUCAGGUGUUGUUGGGUAGGGGAGCGUUCUGUAAGCCUGUGAAGGUGGCCUGUGAGGGUUGCUGGAGGUAUCAGAAGUGCGAAUGCUGACAUAAGUAACGAUAAAGCGGGUGAAAAGCCCGCUCGCCGGAAGACCAAGGGUUCCUGUCCAACGUUAAUCGGGGCAGGGUGAGUCGACCCCUAAGGCGAGGCCGAAAGGCGUAGUCGAUGGGAAACGGGUUAAUAUUCCCGUACUUGGUGUUACUGCGAAGGGGGGGACGGAGAAG
RNAcentral lists this ribosomal RNA (783 nucleotides) under Salmonella enterica subsp. enterica serovar Paratyphi A. RNAcentral describes it as "partial 23S ribosomal RNA". It matches the Rfam family "Bacterial large subunit ribosomal RNA", at positions 697 to 1480 of the family's 2925-position model. Lineage: Bacteria; Pseudomonadati; Pseudomonadota; Gammaproteobacteria; Enterobacterales; Enterobacteriaceae. The record is from RNAcentral.